RNAcentral lists this long non-coding RNA (251 nucleotides) under Musa acuminata (dwarf banana). RNAcentral's name for it is "long non-coding RNA (MACU_LNC010461)". Lineage: Eukaryota; Viridiplantae; Streptophyta; Magnoliopsida; Zingiberales; Musaceae. The record is from RNAcentral.
UAAAACACAAAAGCUAAAAGAAAAAUAAAAGAACAUGUUUCACUUUUUAAAGAACAUCUUUUGUUAUUAUAAUCUAAAGACCCUCAUCCAACCACCAUAUAAUUCAUGUCCUUUUUUUUCCGUUGUUUUUUGAUACUGAUCUCAUCAAACUGUACAUGUUCUUGCGACAAAGGCAAGUGCAGCUCACCACCAAUCGAUAGCCCUUCUCCGCUGCCUUCUUUACACAACCGGCCCCUCUCUCUCUCUCUCUC